This is a long non-coding RNA of Triticum dicoccoides, 262 nucleotides long. RefSeq lists it as uncharacterized. The transcript has 3 exons. The record is from RefSeq and is a predicted model, not a curated record. NCBI's taxonomy places the organism in Eukaryota, Viridiplantae, Streptophyta, Magnoliopsida, Poales, Poaceae.
UUACCACGCUGGAGCUAUGUCAGGUUGUACGAGGGCAGUUAAUGAAUAUACUUGCGACCCUUUUACUCUCAGACUCUCCUCCUUUUCUCGCUGCUGAACCCCUGCCAUCAUCAUGUCCACUCCGCGCCCGCCCCGUGCUCGACGUGCACAUCCUGAGCCCCGCGCCCCCUUGGCUCUCUCCUCUCCCUCCUUGUCGCCAACCCUAAACAUUUUCCCUCUCCACCCUACAGCCGCCUCCCCUAGCUCCUCGUCCCCUUCACUC